Molecule: ribosomal RNA, 920 nt
Filed under: uncultured bacterium
Lineage: Bacteria
Description: bacterial SSU rRNA
Rfam family: Bacterial small subunit ribosomal RNA
Source: RNAcentral
UAGAGUUUGAUCCUGGCUCAGGAUGAACGCUAGCGACAGGCUUAACACAUGCAAGUCGAGGGGCAGCGGUGGUGAAGGCUUGCCUUCACCAGCCGGCGACCGGCGCACGGGUGAGUAACACGUAUGCAACCUGCCUGCCACAGCCGGAUAAUCGGGAGAAAUUCCGUCUAAUACGGCAUAAUGCAUCGACGGGACAUCCUGUUGGUGCCAAAGGUUAAUUCCGGUGGCGGAUGGGCAUGCGUCGCAUUAGUUAGUUGGCGGUGUAACGGACCACCAAGACGACGAUGCGUAGGGGUUCUGAGAGGAAGGUCCCCCACACUGGUACUGAGACACGGACCAGACUCCUACGGGAGGCAGCAGUGAGGAAUAUUGGUCAAUGGGCGGGAGCCUGAACCAGCCAAGUCGCGUGAGGGAUGACGGCCCUAUGGGUUGUAAACCUCUUUUGCCGGGGAGCAAAGUGCCGCACGUGUGCGGUUUGGAGAGUACCCGGAGAAAAAGCAUCGGCUAACUCCGUGCCAGCAGCCGCGGUAAUACGGAGGAUGCGAGCGUUAUCCGGAUUUAUUGGGUUUAAAGGGUGCGUAGGCGGACGCUUAAGUCAGCGGUAAAAUUGCGGGGCUCAACCUCGUCGAGCCGUUGAAACUGGGUGCCUUGAGUGGGCGAGAAGUACGCGGAAUGCGUGGUGUAGCGGUGAAAUGCAUAGAUAUCACGCAGAACUCCGAUUGCGAAGGCAGCGUACCGGCGCCCAACUGACGCUGAAGCACGAAGGCGUGGGUAUCGAACAGGAUUAGAUACCCUGGUAGUCCACGCAGUAAACGAUGAAUGCUAGUUGUCCGGGGCGAUUGAGUUCUGGGUGACACAGCGAAAGCGUUAAGCAUUCCACCUGGGGAGUACGCCGGCAACGGUGAAACUCAAAGGAAUUG